CUGCCUGCAGUGAGGACGGUGUGUAAGUAAGUAAGCACGCACGCGAAAGUGAUUCCCAAACAGAGAGCUCUCCCUGUGUCAUCGGCGAUGCAUUGUCGGCGCCGCGCGGCAGCCGACGGUUACGACUGACAGGAAAUCGGACGGCUGUGCGUUCAAUCAAGCCGACAAGCGGCCGAGGGGUCUCACCGCCGAGUCUGUGUGUGAACAUAGACUGCCGUCGCUUGCUCCCCGCUCUCGUUCGUCGCUCCGUAGCGCCGGGGAAGCGGUGACAGACUAUCGGGUACCCCCAUUUUAUUGUUUACCCUCGCGCGGCGGUGGCACACACAAUUCGCUCGCGUGUGGUGUCGUGAUUGGAGGGAAGAUUCCUAUCGGGAGAAAAGAUCCACGGAGGAGAAGAUCCCAAUCGGUAGGAAAGAUCUACGGAAGGAACAGAUUCUACUCGCGGUCAGAGAGAGAGGCUCUCUAGCUGUCAGUCUCGCAGGGAAAACUCUUCGUCGUGAUGCUUUCCCGAUAGUGACACGUCGUCGGGGCGGCUUGCCUACACGCAUACGCAAGCAGUGCCACUAGGGACCUCUAUAUACUCGACUCGGCAGCACACGAUGUGAGGCGCUACUCUGGCAGCGGCGCGCGCACGUACGCGCACUCAUCAUUUUACGGUUAGUACAAUUGAGCGGGCGAGAGCCGUAUACACACACGUAUCGACACGGGCAGCACUCGACGCUGAGUGAAGACUCGUAGCCGAGAGAGCGGAUAGCGUGAAUUCUAUGAUUCUAAACUUGACACCGUCUCUUCACUAUACGUCCAUGCGAAUUAAGGUGGCGGAGUAUGAUUAGCUCAAUCAGCGGCGAACGCACUUGACGGCAAGCGUAAACGAUACCAGUGGUACACGGAGAGAACCCGGCCUUCAACAUAAAGACGAUCGACGUGAGACGUGGUUGAUAAUUACACGCGUCUCCGGUGUGACGUCACGAUGCCGCUCGGACAGGUGUUCUACUGUCUCCUCACUAUCCUGAUUAGCUCAC
Molecule: long non-coding RNA, 1022 nt
Organism: Priapulus caudatus
Lineage: Eukaryota; Metazoa; Priapulida; Priapulimorpha; Priapulimorphida; Priapulidae
Exons: 3
Source: RefSeq, a predicted model, not a curated record